UUUUUUUUCAUGUCCACGAAAGUUGUAAGUUUUAAUUCAAAUGGAGAUGCUCAUUGACUGGUCAACAUAAAAUCAGCUAUAAAGAUAUAAUGUCAGAGCGCUGAUAUAGCAAACUGGUUUGUAUCCCCUAGAGGUUAAAGAAAUAGUCUCCCCUGUUAAAGAUCAACCAUGGCGUAUAUACAUUGCCGGAUGUCAUCUGGUCAUCAACAGAGAGUUUUGAUGCUAUAUUUCUACCAGUUACCUCUGUGACCUUUGUUAUGUUUAGCAGACAGGUGUGCAUGAUGCAAGUUCUUGGAUUGUGUGUAGUCUAUGAAAUUCACAUUUAUUCUAGGG
This is a long non-coding RNA of Saccostrea echinata, 333 nucleotides long. RefSeq lists it as uncharacterized. The record is from RefSeq and is a predicted model, not a curated record. NCBI's taxonomy places the organism in Eukaryota, Metazoa, Mollusca, Bivalvia, Ostreida, Ostreidae. The transcript has 4 exons.